Molecule: long non-coding RNA, 947 nt
Filed under: Ornithorhynchus anatinus (platypus)
Lineage: Eukaryota; Metazoa; Chordata; Mammalia; Monotremata; Ornithorhynchidae
Description: lncRNA (ENSOANG00000050806.1)
Source: RNAcentral
AUGUUGUUGUCUCUGUAUCUCUGGAAACCAGACGCCUGUCUCUCUUCCCGUAUCCUCUUAGGGACUCACUGUUCUGUUUCCGCCCAUCCCUGUCUCUCUCUCUCUCUCUCUCUCUCUCUGUCUCUCUCUCCUGCAACUGUCUCCGUGUGUCUCUCGCUGUCUCUGUCUCUCUCCUUCAGAUGGCCCCAACUCUCCGCCUUGCUCUCCUUCUCUCCAACCUGCUUAGCCUCAUGGGGACCCUGGAAGCAGCACCUACUCCCAGGGGCGGAGGCGGCUGGACCCUCAACAGUGCCGGAUACCUCCUGGGGCCCGAUGGCUCUCCGUCCUUCCACCUUGAAGAUCUGGACUUUCAGAGCCACCUGCUGAAACUGCUGUCCCAGCCAGAGAUCAGAGAUGUGGGGGUGUUCAGCUGGGGUUCGUCUGCAGACGAGGAGACACGGCAACCGUAGCUGUCAGUGUCACGCCGGCUUCCUCUCUUCCUUCGCCUCCUCGCCGUCCCCCACCCGCCUCAACUCUGUUCUGACUCGGUUCCCUUCGUCUUCGGGGGUAGCCGGACGUCAUUCCCCUAUUUCGCUGCCGGGCAGAUUUAACCUUAAAGUGCUUUUCGGAGCCGUUCCCGGUAACCUGGGGAUGACUUCAUAGCAAACCCGAUUCCGAUCCGACCGAUUCAGCCCCGCAGUGUAUUUGUGGAAUAACUCUGUAGCAACUUGAUAAGACCUCUGGAAUGUCUGAAACAACUUCCAAGUGAUGUUUCCCAGUUCCCUCUUCAGUCUGACCCAUAAGACCCAUUACCCAGUGCUUGGUACAGUGCCUGGCACGUAGUAAGCGCUUAAUGAAUUCCAUUAUUAUUAUUUCUUCCGCCCCAUUUUGAAUCUUCCCUCCGAGAGAGGAGAAGGGAAGAUGGAUGGGGGUAGUCAGAGAAUAAAUGCCUUCAUUUCUGACGGGCC